RNAcentral lists this ribosomal RNA (192 nucleotides) under Acanthoclada prostrata. RNAcentral describes it as "partial 28S ribosomal RNA". It matches the Rfam family "Eukaryotic large subunit ribosomal RNA", at positions 667 to 831 of the family's 3401-position model. The record is from RNAcentral. Lineage: Eukaryota; Metazoa; Porifera; Demospongiae; Axinellida; Stelligeridae.
CAAGGAGUGCAAGAGGCGUGCGAGUCUUUGGUUGUUGUCAGCCCCUGGGGCGCAAUGAAAGUGAAGGGGGGCCUUGUGUUCCCGAGGCGAGAGCCUGCCCGUGUUGCUGGGCCCAUCGUCGACCGAUCCCGGGCUGCUCUGCGGUGGGAUUCAAGUGAGAGCGUGCCUGUUGCGACCCGAAAGAUGGUGAAC